AAACAUCACAUAACCGUUCUUUUUUUGAUGGACGUCUCCGAAAUAUGUACAGCACCCUAUGAUACUUUUUGAGUACCACAGAGGAUCCCGUUCCUUUAGUACAGCUACUUUAUGGUUCAAAGCAAGUUACACUAUUAGAUGCCUUGCGCAAGUAUCUUUUCAUGCAUAUUUUAGGGAACAACCCUCUACUCCCAUUGCUGCGGCCUCACAACUCCAUGCAUAUAGUAGGUCUUUAAAGGAUAUUUGCAAGAUAAUGCUCUGCCUCAUGCAUAUAAUAGGUCUUUAAUGGAUAUUUGUAAGAUAAACCCUGCCUCAUGGCUCCUCCAUCCACCGUCUCUAAUUCGAAAACUCCAUUCUUUUCAUAUUUCUUGCUGCUAAGGGGAUCAGAUCUACGCUACAACUCCAUUACUUCUCAGAACUUAGGAAAAGAAAUCUAUCUCGAUUGAGGGUUGGGGUUUGGAUUUGGAUUUGGAUCUUAUUCCCUUCAAUCUUCUUCUAUGAUAGGAAAAUUGAGGAAUAGAGGCAAGGUGAAGGGCUUUGAAACGAAGUCCAGGGC
Molecule: long non-coding RNA, 556 nt
Filed under: Elaeis guineensis (African oil palm)
Lineage: Eukaryota; Viridiplantae; Streptophyta; Magnoliopsida; Arecales; Arecaceae
Description: long non-coding RNA (EGUI_LNC036059)
Source: RNAcentral